UCCUUCUUAGCUCAGUUGGUAGAGCGCGUCACUAGUAAUAUCUGGCAUGAUGACGAGGUCAGUCGUUCAAGUCGGCUAGAAGGAA
This is a non-coding RNA of Crepidotus variabilis, 85 nucleotides long. Lineage: Eukaryota; Fungi; Basidiomycota; Agaricomycetes; Agaricales; Crepidotaceae. The record is from the annotation of a GenBank genome assembly.